GAUGAACGCUGGCGGCGUGCCUAAUACAUGCAAGUCGAGCGAACAGACGAGGAGCUUGCUCCUCUGACGUUAGCGGCGGACGGGUGAGUAACACGUGGAUAACCUACCUAUAAGACUGGGAUAACUUCGGGAAACCGGAGCUAAUACCGGAUAAUAUAUUGAACCACAUGGUUCAAUAGUGAAAGACGGUUUUGCUGUCACUUAUAGAUGGAUCCGCGCCGCAUUAGCUAGUUGGUAAGGUAACGGCUUACCAAGGCAACGAUGCGUAGCCGACCUGAGAGGGUGAUCGGCCACACUGGAACUGAGACACGGUCCAGACUCCUACGGGAGGCAGCAGUAGGGAAUCUUCCGCAAAGGGCGAAAGCUUGACGGAGCAACGCCGCGUGAGUGAUGAAGGUCUUCGGAUCGUAAAACUCUGUUAUUAGGGAAGAACAAAUGUGUAAGUAACUAUGCACGUCUUGACGGUACCUAAUCAGAAAGCCACGGCUAACUACGUG
RNAcentral lists this ribosomal RNA (497 nucleotides) under uncultured bacterium. Its description in RNAcentral is "partial 16S ribosomal RNA". It matches the Rfam family "Bacterial small subunit ribosomal RNA", at positions 28 to 507 of the family's 1533-position model. The record is from RNAcentral.